Molecule: ribosomal RNA, 319 nt
Filed under: uncultured eukaryote
Lineage: Eukaryota
Description: partial 18S ribosomal RNA
Rfam family: Eukaryotic small subunit ribosomal RNA
Source: RNAcentral
CCCUUAGAUGUUCUGGGCAGCACGCGCGCUACAAUGGUCUUCGCAAACGGAUGCAUUCUCGAAGGAGAAUGCCAAUCUUGGAGUCUAUGCCUUGGUCGGGACAGUUGCUUGCAAUUUUUCGACUCGAACCAGGAAUUCCUUGUAAUCGUGAUUCAUCACAUCACGAUGAAUACGUCCCUGCCCUUUGUACACACCGCCCGUCGCUCCUACCGAUCGAAGAGUUAGGUGAAUUGUUUUGAUCGAUAAGAUUUGACUAUGGUCAACUCUCGUUGUGAAAUUCUGUGAAUCUGACUGUUUAGAGGAAGGAAAAGUCGUAACA